RNAcentral lists this ribosomal RNA (245 nucleotides) under uncultured bacterium. RNAcentral describes it as "partial 16S ribosomal RNA". It matches the Rfam family "Bacterial small subunit ribosomal RNA", at positions 524 to 768 of the family's 1533-position model. The record is from RNAcentral.
GACGAACCGUGCGAACGUUGUUCGGAAUCACUGGGCUUAAAGGGCGCGUAGGCGGCCUGCAUGGUCGGGGGUGAAAUCCCACAGCUUAACUGUGGAAGUGCCUUCGAUACCGGCGGGCUCGAGGAAGGUAGGGGUGCGCGGAACUUCUGGUGGAGCGGUGAAAUGCGUUGAUAUCAGAAGGAACGCCGGCGGCGAAAGCGGCGCACUGGACCUUUUCUGACGCUGAGGCGCGAAAGCCAGGGGAG